This is an RNA transcript of Phalaenopsis equestris, 647 nucleotides long. It is a transcript of the gene named 50S ribosomal protein L30, with no coding region annotated. Lineage: Eukaryota; Viridiplantae; Streptophyta; Magnoliopsida; Asparagales; Orchidaceae. The transcript is spliced from 4 exons. The record is from RefSeq and is a predicted model, not a curated record.
AAGAAAAAAAUAAAUAAAACCGAAGUCCUUGGUGGUGCAAUUAACCCGUGGCUGAGUGGAAGAAGAGCAUCGAUAAUGAGCGGGAGCGCCUUCAACGCGUUUAAGGCUAGGGUUCCGGUGGCCUGGAGCCCUCGGCUGUUCAUAACCCUAGUCCGUGGCCUCCCUGGCACACGCAAGCUCCACCGCAGAACUCUUGCUGCCAUGCGUCUCCGCCGCUGCAACCGCACCGUCAUUCACCGCACUACCCCUUCACUCCUCGGAAUGCUCAACCAAGUGAAGAGACUGGUGGUGGUGGAGACAGAGGAGAUGCACAAUGCGAGGAAGCAAGAGGAAAAGGAACGCACGGCUUUUCGUCCUCCCAUUGUCGUCAAGCACGCUCCUCCUACUUCUUCAUCUUCUUUGGCGGAGUAGCUGAGCAAAUUGCAGGUCAACUGAUAGGCUGCAACAUCUCAUCAAGUGGUUCACUAACUCGAGGAAUUGCUCGUUGGAUGAAUUGCUGGACAAAUUGGGUGAGCUAAUAGUUUUGUAAGAGUUCCUUGUCCUUCUUGAAGCCUGCUCUCUAUUGUUGGACAAUCUUAUCUGCAUUGGCAAUUAGAAGAAUCAUUGAUCAUGAUUCAAUUCUUCUUAUAGUGUAAAUUACUUUUUAA